Molecule: ribosomal RNA, 546 nt
Filed under: uncultured Nitrososphaerota archaeon
Lineage: Archaea; Thermoproteati; Nitrososphaerota
Description: uncultured thaumarchaeote partial 16S ribosomal RNA
Source: RNAcentral
UACAACGCACUACCUGUUCACAGUAGUCGUUGCUGUCAACAGCCCACUGCUCACCAUCAACGAAGGGGACUACAUCUUCUACACAGAUUGGGCGUGGACGUCCUUCGUUGCGUUCUCGGUGUCCCACUCAACGAUGCUUCACGUGCGCGCACUCUCCUACCUGUUCUUCACCAGUGCUCCGGCCACCACACCCGAUACCACCGUUCUCACGGACAUCUACCCCUUGAGUUCCAAUGGCACGUAGAUUUCACUUCGAGUUCACUACGACUUCGUUGGGGGACAAGACGCAACGAGCACGCUGCCAUACUUAUUUGCGGUACGCUGGUUCGCCUAUCCUUGCCGCUGUUCAACAUGGUAAACCAGUUGCUUGUAAGGGACCCGCUCGAGGUGGCCUUCAAGUAUCCGAGACCGACUCUGCCCGCGUACAUGACGCCUAGAGUGACUGAGGUAGGGAAGUGCUACAACUCGCCUGUCGCCCUGGGUUCAGGGGCCGGUGCAGUGCUAACGGUACCCAUCGCUGCGGUGGGUGCAAAACUAAACACGUGG